GCCUAGUUAGCUUGGCAGGUAGAGCGCUUGCCUUGUAAGCACUAGGUCGCGGGUUCGAUUGCCGCCCGGGGCG
RNAcentral lists this transfer RNA (73 nucleotides) under Diaphorina citri (Asian citrus psyllid). It matches the Rfam family "tRNA". Rfam says of the family: Transfer RNA (tRNA) molecules are approximately 80 nucleotides in length. The record is from Rfam by way of RNAcentral. Lineage: Eukaryota; Metazoa; Arthropoda; Insecta; Hemiptera; Psyllidae.